GUAGCUCCAAUUGGCAGAGCAGCGGAUUCCAAAUCCGCGUGUUGGGAGUUCGAAUCUCUCCACCCCUGCCAUAUAUC
This 77-nucleotide transfer RNA is filed under the name Vibrio cholerae O395. RNAcentral's name for it is "tRNA-Trp". The stretch from base 1 to 68 matches the Rfam family "tRNA". From Rfam's summary of the family: Transfer RNA (tRNA) molecules are approximately 80 nucleotides in length. Lineage: Bacteria; Pseudomonadati; Pseudomonadota; Gammaproteobacteria; Vibrionales; Vibrionaceae. The record is from RNAcentral.